RNAcentral lists this unclassified non-coding RNA (233 nucleotides) under Funneliformis mosseae. RNAcentral's name for it is "partial contains 5.8S ribosomal RNA and internal transcribed spacer 2". The stretch from base 1 to 71 matches the Rfam family "5.8S ribosomal RNA", at positions 84 to 154 of the family's 154-position model. Lineage: Eukaryota; Fungi; Glomeromycota; Glomeromycetes; Glomerales; Glomeraceae. The record is from RNAcentral.
GUGAAUCAUCAAAUUUUUGAACGCAAAUUGCACUCCCUGGUAUUCCGGGGAGUAUGCCUGUUUGAGGGUCGUUAGAAUAAAAAAUCGAGGCAUCGCUCUUUUUUUGAGGGUGAUCGCUUCGGAAUUGUGCCGUCUUUCAAAUGUUAAUUCAUGUCAAAGUGGUCUAAAAUUCAUUCAUCCGGUACGAUUAAAGCGUAUUUAAGAUCAACUUUGAUUAAGCACGCGCGAUGCAC